UGAAUGUAACAGAGAAAAAGUCUGAUGUUAAAAAUAUCUCAACAGGAAUAAACAAACAGCAUCAGCUGUGUCUCAUUAUACAGUCUGUGAAGGCUGUAGAGGGUAGGCUGGGGAAGAAAAGGGUUGAUCCAGAAGUGAAAUAAACACUGAUUAAUAUUUGGAAUGCAUGAGGGAUUCACAAUCUAAAUAGAAACAAAAGCAUGAUCUCUGUGCUGCUGGAUUUGGGAUCAGCCAGAAACAGGAGUGAGCUGUAACCUCCCACUGCACUGGUGACUCUCAAGAGUAUAAACAAGACCACUCCAAAAGUAGCAGUGAAACUCCUAGAGACCAACAAAGUAUCACAUAGCAAGUUAUUUUCUUACUGCUUUAUGAAGUAGCUUACAAUUGCAUCCAGUUAUUACAAAGAGACAUUGCAGUAGGGGAAAAACAAUUUUUAGAAGUCUAUUGUGGUAGAGCUUUAACUCAUAAAAAUAAAAUCCUGCUACAAUAAAAACAUAAAUGGACAUAAGCUACAAUUAUAAAUUAAGUAAUUUUCUUAAGUAAAUAUUACUUUAUGCUCACAGAUAAUUGUAGAGAUAGAUUCCUUGAGAAUUUAAAGUCCUUGCUCAGGUAUCUAAGCAAGUAUAAAAAUGUGUAAGGAGUUUCUUCCCCAGCCCAUUUUCAACACUUUUCUAAAUUGUAUGUAGGUACUUUAGCUUUCAUGAGACUCUAUAUGUAGUCUGUCAUUUUACUGUGAAAAUCUCAAUUGCUUUCAGAUCUGGAAAAGACAUGUUCUAAACUUAUAGCCUGAGUUCUAAAAAAACAACUAAAAAAAUUCUGUAGAGUUAUAUAUUCAUUCCUUAUAUUUUGCAGAGGAUUGGAUUUCUACUUUAUUAUAGCAAUGACAACUUAUGUAGGUAAGAGCUAUUAGAUAUUGGGUAUUUUAAAGAAAAUUAGGAACUGAUGCAGAAGCAAAAUAAGUAGAGAACAUUAUUAACAUGUGAAAAGAGAAGAAAAGAACAGAGAAAUGGCAGCAAACCCAAUAAACAAACAUAUAAUUUUGGUAAGCCUCAGUGCCACCACAACUACUGAAAUGUAACCAUAUACACUUUUACCUCCACAAACCACAGUAAUUAUAAUGAAUAUAUUUUAAAUGAUUCCAAUUUGGGAGACAGUGAACUACAUCAAAGUUUUUUUUCUGAUAUGUACAUUUGCUAUUUUGAAAUCUCCACCCUAAAUUGUAUAAAUCAAUUCCAUUUCUAGGAAGUAAAAUACUACUGCAAGUACUGUAAUUUCUCAAAAUGGAGCCAAUGCAUGCUGAUACAAAUCACAACUAAUUUAAAAAAAAUUCUAUGUUAAUAUUAGGCAUUUUCAAAUAUAGGAAUAUUUUACCCAAAGCAUACAUUCUAGAAAACAUAAAUCCUAGAUAAAUCAGUUGCAUAUUAGUUUCUUGUGAUGAAUUACCACAAACUUAGUGGUGUUUAUUUUUUCACAGUUCUGGAGGCUAAAGGAUCACUGGACUGAAACCAGGGUCUUGGAAGAGUGCCCCCUCUGGAGGCUCCAGGAAAGAAUCUAUUUUUUACCUCUUCUAGCUUUUGGUGGUUGCUGGCUUUCCUUGGCUUGUAGCCACAAAACUUUAAUCUUCAAGGCCAGAAUCUUCCAAUCUCUGCUCCAUCUUCACAGAGUCUUCCGUGUGUGUCAAAUUUCUUUUGCCUCCUUAUCAUAAAGAUAGGUAUAAUUGCAUCUAGGGUCCAGCCAAAUAAUCCAGGAUAAUCCUCAUAAUUCAAUAUCUUUAACUUAAUCACAUGUGCAAACACUUAUUUUUUCCCCCCAUAUAGUCCUAGGAAUUUGAACAUGAAUACCUGUUAGGGAGCUAUUUUUCAGCCUACCUUAGACCUCAACGGGAGAGACCUAAUGUUAACAGGAAAAGAUGUGUGCAAUAAUAAAUACUUGACAACUACUGUGUGCUAGCACUAUGCCAGGCAGAGAUGAUGUGACUGAAACAAGACAGUUAAUUGUCCCUGUCUCCGUAGAGCUUACCAACCUGGAGGGCCUGAUAGCAUCCAUUUCUCCACCAAGUAGGUGGAAAGAACAUUUUUAGAGACUGGGGAUAGUUGGUAGGAAGUUUGAAAAAUAUAGGGAAGGCUGGAAAUCACUGUUGAAUGAAAGUGAGAGACAAAAACAUGGGACAAAUAGGAUUUCUGAGACCAUCAGAGGGUCCAAAUAUAGUUACCAUUAGUGUUCAUAUAUUUCUAAUUCUUCCCCUUCUGAGCUCAUAGCUGACUUUCAUCUACUAUCUCUGUAUAACUAUUUCCAGCUGAUGAAUUAACAGACAAACUAAGUGUUACCACUGGAGGAAGUUUUAAUUGCCAGUGGAAAAUCCUCCAGAAUUCUUUUCCUCUGUCACAACAAUAAAGACAUAUUCCAAGCAGUGGGUACUUUGUCGUGCUGGAUUUCAUGUUUGACAUGGAGGAGAAUGGCUAGCCUAUCAGCAAUGAACAUGCAGUGUGAACAAGCACUAUGCCUUUGCUUUAAGCUAAUUUGAGAUUAUGUAUUAUUUCAGCCUAACCUAGCUUAUCCUUUCUGAUAUAUCAGAUAUAGUUAGAAACCAGGACAUUUGUAAGAUGAAUUAUUUGGUUUUCUUUGUCAAUUUUCAGAAGGAGGCACAGCCCCUGUUGGAGGAGUUUAUUUAGGGUUGAUAAUGUGUCAGGAGAGGAUUGAGAAGGACAGAAGACAAAGUAUAAUCAGUUACAAAACUCUUAGCUUUAGAAUUUUAUUGUCGUUGAAUCUAAUUCUAUAGUUAAAAGCAAUAAUAAUAACAUCCACCUAAUUUGAUGCAAUAUUGGAGAAUUUAAAACUAUGAAAAAAUACAUUAUCUCCAUGGAUCCUCAUAUUAACUCUUUGAAUUAGAUGACACUUUUUCCCUUUUAUGAGAUGAAGAAACUGUGGUGUGGUGAUGGCGUGUCUGUUUUCCAAAGUCUGGCUCUUUAGUUAGCAGUGCUUGUAUGUAACUCAUUCUUACUGUACUAGGUUCUAGGGAUGGAAUCCUGGUGCUGAGAAGAGUUUAUAGUGAAGGAAUCAGUGCUAGUACCAGAUCUCAUGGUCAUAUGGCAGAAUUGGGACAAAGAUUUUCUGUCUUCUAGAGAAAUCACAGUUCUUUUAAUUUCAGUUUCCAUUUUUAGUCAUUAUGCCAUGUGUCCUCUUAAGUACUAUAAACCCUAAUUCAGAUGGCAGGAGAGGAUGAUGAGGCCGUGAAUAUGGAGACUCAAUCAGUUCCUCUCUCAGCUCAUCACUCUCUUGCUAUUAUCAAGGUUUUAGAGCACUUUCUGAAUUAAACCAAUAGUGCUGUUAGGUUUACAUGUGCUGUGUAGAUUUGGUAUGAAAUAGCGGAAAAAUAUGUAUAUAUAGUUUUUUGUCUCUAGAAAAUCCUAUGCUUCCAGCUUUGUGCUGAAUUCUAAUACUAAAACUUCUUGCAAGUCACUCAGUUCACUGAUGGUAGAAACAAAUAGCUUUCAUAUACCUUUAAAAUCUGAAGUUAAUCAAGGCUGAGUACUAAGUCACUAGGUGGUUGAAUUUCUGUAUCUUCUGUGAAUAUUUCUUUUGUCAUUUCAUUUAGAAACCAAAUAUAAUUUCGUUAUUAGAAUUAUAAAAAUGUAGCUCCUGAAUUCUGUUUCAGUUGCUGACAUGUAUCAUUAUGGAGAGAAGAAUUAUACUUUCUCAGCAAUCUAUACAGAACUAAUGGCCUCACCACUCUCUGGUGGCAGCUUAAUGAAAUGCAAGUGCAAGUAUCAGAAUCUUUGUAGUUGGGUAUGGAAAUAUUAAUGAAGCUUGUGAUCUAAAUUUGGGAGUUGUGGACAUUUGGAUGUUCACAAAGAUCCAUAACAAUUGUUGAGAUCUUUUAGAGAAAGUGCAGUGCUUAAAAGGAGAGGGAAACCUAGGACACAUCUCUGAAAAACU
Molecule: long non-coding RNA, 3936 nt
Filed under: Sus scrofa (pig)
Lineage: Eukaryota; Metazoa; Chordata; Mammalia; Artiodactyla; Suidae
Description: lncRNA (ENSSSCG00065042059.1)
Source: RNAcentral